AUGUAGGGGUACCGGAGAACCGGUUGAGAUGCAUGCGACAUGCAGACCCUUUGAACCUGAUCUGGGUAACGCCAGCGGAGGGAACAUAUUCAU
RNAcentral lists this non-coding RNA (93 nucleotides) under uncultured Sporosarcina sp. RNAcentral's name for it is "TPP riboswitch (THI element)". It matches the Rfam family "TPP riboswitch aptamer (THI element)", at positions 7 to 92 of the family's 105-position model. From Rfam's summary of the family: Vitamin B(1) in its active form thiamin pyrophosphate (TPP) is an essential coenzyme that is synthesised by coupling of pyrimidine and thiazole moieties in bacteria. Lineage: Bacteria; Bacillati; Bacillota; Bacilli; Caryophanales; Caryophanaceae. The record is from RNAcentral.